UGCAUGUUUACGUAUUGUUUUAAUUUCUCCUCUACAGUCAACACUCACUGUCAUCACUAACUUGUCACGUGACAAAUCAAAUCUUCAGUUAAUUUGGCCAAAUCAGAUCACUUCAAGCUGUUCACACCAAGAGCAAGAACUAUAAUGAUAACUAUUUUAACCGCUUAUUUUUCAUACUAACAUACAAUAACAUUUUGUUUAUUAUGAGUGUGUGCUGCAGUUAUGUUGUCUGCAUUUACAUGCUCAGGCUAUUUACAGUCUGAUGGAUUUUUAUUGGCUCUCAAUGUUUUUAUUUUUCAUCAUCUGGAAGAAUUUGUUCUGAAAGAGAUUCCAACCAUAUUGUUUCUCUGUGUCAUUUCAUGUUAAAUAGCUGCAUUGUGGACUCAUCCUUGGUGUGAAGAGGCCUUUAAACUGCUUACAACAAAAUCGUCAGCAGGUAGAAACUGAGAGUUCACAUGAUGGCCUUUUCUCAGACUCUGAAUCUGAUGUGUACAGAUGAACUCAGGAGCCUGCUGGAGUUGCCAGGGAAAUUGAGCUUGAAGUGUAUAACUAUAACUGCUUGUUUUAUGUUUAAACAACAAUAAUGAUUUCCACUGCUCCUAGAAUUAGCAAAUCAACUGUGGCAUCGUCUCUGGAAUUUGGGCAGGAAAUGACCGAAUAUGGAGGAUGAAGCCAGUUGAUGAAGAGAUCAAUUCAAUGGCCACCAGGUGCGGCACUGCAGCCUGAACCCAUCAGGUAUCUGCUGUGAAGACUGCAUUCACGGACUGCUCUACUGUGACAGCUCAGAUUUUACGGUGCAUAAAAGUAAACUUCACAACUGAUCAACAAGAGAUGUGGAGGGAUUCUUUUGGCCCAUACCUCCAACAGGAAUCAAUGGACAUCUACAUCAGGUGGUGUGUGAGGAAAGCACAGAGACUCCAGCCUGCAUGGAUCCCUCUCAUUGUUACCAUCAGGCAGAAGUUAUUGCAGAAUCUACACCAGCAGACUGCGAGACAAGUUCUUUCCACAGGCAAUCAGACUGAACUGAACUCAUACCAGUAACACCACACACAGCACAUCAACCUCAUAUGUACUGCCCUGUAACAAUUACACUGUCUGCCCUCUGACUCACUAUUAUUCUGCGCCGUGACAUUCUGUUUGCACUAAUUCAUACCGUACUGCACUGUCAUUAUUGUUUAUCAUUGUUUUCAUUUUGUGCUCACUGUAUAGCACAAUAUUUAGCAUAUAUCGUUCUCUG
Long non-coding RNA from Labeo rohita (rohu), 1237 nucleotides. RefSeq lists it as uncharacterized. The record is from RefSeq and is a predicted model, not a curated record. The transcript is spliced from 5 exons. NCBI's taxonomy places the organism in Eukaryota, Metazoa, Chordata, Actinopteri, Cypriniformes, Cyprinidae.